UCGCUCUUAUAUGUCCAAGGUCAAUAUGGAAAUUCUUUCAGAGGUUUUCCCUUACUUUUUCCAUGUCAACAAACAAUUCAAAAUACCUCGACUUUUUCAGAACAGGUCCGAGUGAAAUAG
This 120-nucleotide ribosomal RNA is filed under the name Triticum aestivum (bread wheat). RNAcentral's name for it is "partial small subunit ribosomal RNA". The record is from RNAcentral. Lineage: Eukaryota; Viridiplantae; Streptophyta; Magnoliopsida; Poales; Poaceae.